GAAGGGUGCAAGCGUUACUCGGAAUUACUGGGCGUAAAGCGUGCGUAGGUGGUGCGUUAAGUCUGUCGUGAAAGCCCCGGGCUCAACCUGGGAAUGGCGAUGGAUACUGGCGCGCUAGAGUGCGGUAGAGGAGAGUGGAAUUCCCGGUGUAGCAGUGAAAUGCGUAGAGAUCGGGAGGAACAUCAGUUGCGAAGGCGGCUCUCUGGACCAACACUGACACUGAGGCACGAAAGCGUGGGGAGCAAACAGGAUUAGAUACCCUGGUAGUCCACGCCCUAAACGAUGCGAACUGGACGUUGGGAGCAACUAGGCUCUCAGUGUCGAAGCUAACGCGUUAAGUUCGCCGCCUGGGGAGUACGGUCGCAAGACUG
RNAcentral lists this ribosomal RNA (371 nucleotides) under uncultured bacterium. RNAcentral describes it as "bacterial SSU rRNA". It matches the Rfam family "Bacterial small subunit ribosomal RNA", at positions 527 to 896 of the family's 1533-position model. The record is from RNAcentral.